Molecule: ribosomal RNA, 427 nt
Filed under: uncultured bacterium
Lineage: Bacteria
Description: partial 16S ribosomal RNA
Rfam family: Bacterial small subunit ribosomal RNA
Source: RNAcentral
GUGGGGAAUAUUGGGCAAUGGGGGAAACCCUGACCCAGCAACGCCGCGUGAAGGAAGAAGGCUUUCGGGUUGUAAACUUCUUUUAUGAGGGACGAAGAAGUGACGGUACCUCAUGAAUAAGCCACGGCUAACUACGUGCCAGCAGCCGCGGUAAUACGUAGGUGGCAAGCGUUGUCCGGAUUUACUGGGUGUAAAGGGCGCGUAGGCGGGAUAGCAAGUCAGGUGUGAAAGCCGGGGGCUUAAACCUCGAACUGCACUUGAAACUGUUAUUCUUGAGUGAUGGAGAGGCAAGCGGAAUUCCUAGUGUAGCGGUGAAAUGCGUAGAUAUUAGGAGGAACACCAGUGGCGAAGGCGGCUUGCUGGACAUUAACUGACGCUGAGGCGCGAAAGCGUGGGGAGCAAACAGGAUUAGAUACCCGGGUAGUCC